This 380-nucleotide ribosomal RNA is filed under the name uncultured eukaryote. Its description in RNAcentral is "partial 18S ribosomal RNA". It matches the Rfam family "Eukaryotic small subunit ribosomal RNA", at positions 592 to 976 of the family's 1831-position model. The record is from RNAcentral.
CAAUAGCGUAUAUUAAAGUUGUUGCGGUUAAAAAGCUCGUAGUUGGAUUUCUGCUGAGAACGACCGGUCCGCCCUUUGGGUGUGUAUCUGGCUCUUUCUUGGCAUCUUCUUGGUGAACGUUGCUGCACUUGACUGUGUGGAGCGCUACCCAGGACUUUUACUUUGAGGAAAUUAGAGUGUUUCAAGCAGGCAUACGCCUUGAAUACAUUAGCAUGGAAUAAUAGAAUAGGACUUUGGUUCUAUUUUGUUGGUUUCUAGGACCGAAGUAAUGAUUAAUAGGGAUAGUUGGGGGCAUUAGUAUUUAAUUGUCAGAGGUGAAAUUCUUGGAUUUAUGAAAGACUAACAUCUGCGAAAGCAUUUGCCAAGGAUGUUUUCAUUGA